CACCGCGGUUAUACGAGAGGCCCUAGUUGAUAACUACCGGCGUAAAGAGUGGUUAUGGAAAAAUAUUUAAUAAAGCCGAACACCCCCUCAGCCGUCAUACGCAUCUGGGAGCACGAAGACCUACUGCGAAAGCAGCUUUAAUUAUGCCUGACCCCACGACAGCUAAGAAA
Molecule: ribosomal RNA, 170 nt
Filed under: Oncorhynchus gorbuscha (pink salmon)
Lineage: Eukaryota; Metazoa; Chordata; Actinopteri; Salmoniformes; Salmonidae
Description: partial 12S rRNA
Source: RNAcentral